GCAUAUGGGCUUGUGAUCCGUGUAUACGGU
This 30-nucleotide small RNA is filed under the name Bombyx mori (domestic silkworm). Its description in RNAcentral is "ovarian small RNA-16529". The record is from RNAcentral. Lineage: Eukaryota; Metazoa; Arthropoda; Insecta; Lepidoptera; Bombycidae.